Molecule: long non-coding RNA, 1733 nt
Organism: Daucus carota subsp. sativus
Lineage: Eukaryota; Viridiplantae; Streptophyta; Magnoliopsida; Apiales; Apiaceae
Exons: 7
Source: RefSeq, a predicted model, not a curated record
AUCACUAAAUUCUAAGAAGAAUCCCUUAUAUCAUAAAUCCUGAUUCCAAAUUCAAUGGCUUUUUACACCCCUUGCCCCAAUUCUUCAUACUUAAUUACAAAAAAUGCCAUCCAAAAAACUAUUCUGAGCAUGACUGUUGACUAAGAAAUUGAGCUGACUCACUACAUUUUCCAUUUCCGGAUUUCAAUUGAGCUGUGUUUUGGAGCCAUCUGCUAUCAUGUGAUGCUGUCUGAUCUCUUCCUACCUCACGUUGCUUUCCACCACAGUGGUUUAGACAGUUUCGGCAAAGAGACAAGAAGCUCAUGGCUCAAAAAUCACCAGGAACUGAAUCUUUUCCUCUUCAAUCCAUUUCUUGCAGGUAGGUUUGAAUAGUUGUUCAAUUUGAAUUCAAAACCCCAUUUUACAUACAACAGCAAUCUCUUCACUCCGAAACAAACAUUUUACGGGCGAUGAAGAGGUUUUCACGACGACCUAAAGUUGUUAUCUUUCUUAUUUAUGCAUUUGUUUACCACUCGGUUUUUAAUCCUGAUUAUGUUCUGAUAUAUCUUUUGUUUUUAUGUUUCUUGGAUGGAUUUUGGGGGUUUUUCAAUAAUCUCAAACUGGAUAGUUUCCCUACGCUGAGGGGGGAUUGUUCUGGUUCCAAAUCAAAAAGAAGAAGGCCAAAUGUGGAACAAGAUAAAGAAAAUAUCAAACCAUCUGGAGAGGGGAGUCCCACCCCUGGCUGAACACCCUUGAUCAUGUGUAUCAAACUCCCACAAGGCCUUUGUCUGCUCUAUCAAACCAGAGUAUAUGGCAUGUUUUCUGGCACACAAGAUAAAUGUGCUACUUGCAUUAAAACAGCUUAUCCACUAGAGAAGUCACUUUUGUGUUGAAGGAGUGAAUUGUGAUUUACAAUGUGAUUACUAACCGGAAAGGGUUAGACUGGGGAAGAGGGAGAUAUUGUUGUCAGUUGUCGAACAGCUUUUGGUUUAAAACCAAUUCAAGAGUCCAAAGAGCAUAUCAUUUUUCACUGUUAUGUAUUCACAAUGCUAGAUGUGGCUUUCUUCCAUAGAGAUUAAAGUUCUAAAGCUUCCAUAGAAUGUGGCUUUCUUCGCGAGUUCGUGACCUACCUCCAGAGCGGUUCUGUACAAGAUGAAAUGUACAAGAUCCUGACGGCUGCUGCACUCAGUAUAAUGUUGGAUCGGUCACUGAUUAUUGAGAAACCAGGCUGGAAGAAAUUUCCACUUGGGGAUCAUGUCUCUUAUUCAAACAUAUCGUUUACCUUGAACGAAGUGAAGCAUCUUUGGAGACAAAAUGGUUGUGCUACUAAAUUUUAAAGACAUUUGUUAAUGAGGAUUGAUGAUUUUCAGAAGCCAGCAUGUAUGGUUUGCUAGGACCUUAAGGUAUUGUUUCUUAAAGGAUCAUAUGUUUGUGAAGCAAGGUAAGCCAACGCCUUUACCACAUCAGCUACAAGGGGCCGCAGUGAAGGUUCCUCCUGUACACACAUUGCAGCAACUGAAAGAGCUUGAUAUAACCCUUUUACUAGAUAUUGGCCUUGGAGCACAUGGUCUACUAUCUGGUGAAAUUUCUUCCGAUCCCUGAAUAAAGGUCGUGCCUACAAGAUUUUCAAGAGUUAGUGUUUUUCAUACACUGAAAAACCAAGGUUCCCCUGUUAUGUACUUAUCAACUUUGUCGAAUAAAAUCUUUGUACUGUGCGGAAUAAUAUAAAUUAUUAACGUGCAUGUUACACAGCA